AUUGAACGCUGGCGGCAGGCCUAACACAUGCAAGUCGAGCGGAUGAAGGGAGCUUGCUCCUGGAUUCAGCGGCGGACGGGUGAGUAAUGCCUAGGAAUCUGCCUGGUAGUGGGGGAUAACGUCCGGAAACGGGCGCUAAUACCGCAUACGUCCUGAGGGAGAAAGUGGGGGAUCUUCGGACCUCACGCUAUCAGAUGAGCCUAGGUCGGAUUAGCUAGUUGGUGGGGUAAAGGCCUACCAAGGCGACGAUCCGUAACUGGUCUGAGAAGAUGAUCAGUCACACUGGAACUGAGACACGGUCCAGACUCCUACGGGAGGCAGCAGUGGGGAAUAUUGGACAAUGGGCGAAAGCCUGAUCCAGCCAUGCCGCGUGUGUGAAGAAGGUCUUCGGAUUGUAAAGCACUUUAAGUUGGGAGGAAGGGCAGUAAGUUAAUACCUUGCUGUUUUGACGUUACUAACAGAAUAAGCACCGGCUAACUUCGUG
This 484-nucleotide ribosomal RNA is filed under the name uncultured bacterium. RNAcentral describes it as "partial 16S ribosomal RNA". It matches the Rfam family "Bacterial small subunit ribosomal RNA", at positions 30 to 507 of the family's 1533-position model. The record is from RNAcentral.